CAUGCACCGGUGGGGUCCCUCAGCCUGGCCUGCGCCCUUUCGCAAUCUGGGACCCCUCAGAGGACAUUGGAGAGCCGGUUUUGGCCUAAUCCCGCAGGCCAGGCUGAGGGACCCCACUGGUGCACG
Non-coding RNA from Myotis brandtii (Brandt's bat), 126 nucleotides. Lineage: Eukaryota; Metazoa; Chordata; Mammalia; Chiroptera; Vespertilionidae. The record is from Rfam.